AUUGAACGCUGGCGGCAGGCUUAACACAUGCAAGUCGAGCGGAGAUGAGGUGCUUGCACCUUAUCUUAGCGGCGGACGGGUGAGUAAUGCUUAGGAAUCUGCCUAUUAGUGGGGGACGACAUUCCGAAAGGAAUGCUAAUACAGCAUACGUCCUACGGGAGGAAGCAGGGGAGCUUCGGACCUUGCGCUAAUAGAUGAGCCUAAGUAGUAUUAGCUAGUUGGGGGGGUAAAGGCCUACCAAGGCGACGAUCUGUAGCGGGUCUGAGAGGAUGAUCCGCCACACUGGGACUGAGACACGGCCCAGACUCCUACGGGAGGCAGCAGUGGGGAAUAUUGGACAAUGGGGGGAACCCUGAUCCAGCCAUGCCGCGUGUGUGAAGAAGGCCUUAUGGUUGUAAAGCACUUUAAGCGAGGAGGAGGCUACUGAGACUAAUACUCUUGGAUAGUGGACGUUACUCGCAGAAUAAGCACCGGCUAACUCUGUGCCAGCCGCCGCCGUAA
RNAcentral lists this ribosomal RNA (501 nucleotides) under uncultured bacterium. RNAcentral describes it as "partial 16S ribosomal RNA". It matches the Rfam family "Bacterial small subunit ribosomal RNA", at positions 30 to 523 of the family's 1533-position model. The record is from RNAcentral.